GCACACAAAACAGCUCCUAAAUGCUUCUUGGGAGUAUGAAACGUCAACCUUGGUUAAUUAAGCAACAGACAUGCUUUGGCCGAACGGUCACUUGGAAAUUCCCCAAACAACAGCUCUUUGCUGUACCCGAAGCAAUACCAGCUUUAAUGCUGUUCAAUAACGUCCCCCCUUGCAUGCUUUCAUUAAUGCCGUCCAUGCAUGGUGAAUAUCUCAUUUAAUUCAUGUUUUGCUUCCCUUUAAAUGCCGUUCCAUACAUGGGAACAUCUCAUUUAAUUCAUGUCUUUGCUGCACAUUAAAUCAGCAAGCAGCUUCUUUAAUUUCAUCCAUUAAAUGGCCACAUGAAAAGCACAAACAACUCCUUUAAUGCCGUUCCUUGCAUGUAGAACAGCAUCUUUAAUGCAUGUCUUGCUGUACAUUAAAUUCG
RNAcentral lists this long non-coding RNA (424 nucleotides) under Gossypium barbadense (sea-island cotton). RNAcentral's name for it is "long non-coding RNA (GBAR_LNC001548)". The record is from RNAcentral. Lineage: Eukaryota; Viridiplantae; Streptophyta; Magnoliopsida; Malvales; Malvaceae.